RNAcentral lists this ribosomal RNA (402 nucleotides) under uncultured bacterium. RNAcentral describes it as "bacterial SSU rRNA". It matches the Rfam family "Bacterial small subunit ribosomal RNA", at positions 356 to 773 of the family's 1533-position model. The record is from RNAcentral.
GGGGAAUAUUGCACAAUGGGCGAAAGCCUGAUGCAGCAACGCCGCGUGAGCGAUGAAGGCCUUUGGGUCGUAAAGCUCUGUCCUUGGGGAAGAAAAAAAUGACGGUACCCUUGGAGGAAGCCCCGGCUAACUACGUGCCAGCAGCCGCGGUAAUACGUAGGGGGCAAGCGUUAUCCGGAAUUAUUGGGCGUAAAGAGUGCGUAGGUGGUCCUGUAAGCGCGGGGUGAAAGGCAAUAGCUCAACUAUUGUAAGCCUUGCGAACUGUGGGACUUGAGUGCAGGAGAGGAAAGCGGAAUUCCUAGUGUAGCGGUGAAAUGCGUAGAUAUUAGGAGGAACACCAGUGGCGAAGGCGGCUUUCUGGACUGUAACUGACACUGAGGCACGAAAGCGUGGGGAGCAAAC